This 551-nucleotide ribosomal RNA is filed under the name Pilbarascutigera incola. RNAcentral describes it as "eukaryotic LSU rRNA". The stretch from base 1 to 109 matches the Rfam family "Bacterial large subunit ribosomal RNA", at positions 453 to 562 of the family's 2925-position model. Lineage: Eukaryota; Metazoa; Arthropoda; Chilopoda; Scutigeromorpha; Scutigeridae. The record is from RNAcentral.
ACUCCAUCUAAGGCUAAAUACUUCCACGAGACCGAUAGCAAACAAGUACCGUGAGGGAAAGUUGCAAAGAACUUUGAAGAGAGAGUUCAAGAGUACGUGAAACCGCUCGUAGGCAAACGGGUGGGCCCUCGAAGGCAAGCAGAAGGGGAUUCAACCCGUUGGCGUUCGGCCGCGCUCCCCGGUUUUUCUCGAAACGGAUCCGAGAGACCGGCCCGGGGUUCCAGCCGCGGUCGCCAGCGGGCGCACUUCCCCUUCUCGCGUCCCGUCUCACGAGGCGGGACCGAACGCCGCGACCGGUCGGGAGAAACGACGGCGGCCAAGCGGCGAGACCGGGCAGGUAUCCUACUCGUCUGUUUUCCGCUCGCGGAGCAGCUCGUAGGAGAUAGCCCGUCUCGACCCGGCUCCGCCGCCCGACCGUGGUCUAGAACCGAGGUUCGACAACCGCGCAAGCGCUCACGACGCUCGAGCCCUUGCCGCACGUCUGUUAGGCCGCCGACAGAUCCAUAUCCCCCCCGCUCACCAGCGGUUAUGCGAAGCGGCCUGCCGGCGUU